GCCAUCGUUUUAUGUCCACCGAUAUAUUACAAAUCCAAGAUCGAAAUGAAUAUUUUUAUUCGAACGUGUUGUGAGUUCUAAGAGAGAAAAGAAAAAAAGAAAAAAAAGAAGGAGCGAGGGAAAGAUACUGAGGAAUAAAAAUAUCCAAAAUUGCAAUUACGAUAGAAGGGGAAUCGUGCGAGAGAAAAUAAAAGACUAGAAGAGAUAUUAGAAUGUAACACCGAAAUUGGGGGGAAAAAAUGGGAAAGAGACAAAGGUGAAGGAAGAUAACGAGCUUGACGACGAGAAGAAAAGAAAGCAAAGUGCGAACGCGAAGAAGGAGGAUAAAACGAGGAGAGUGGAGAACCGAGCGCAGCUAAAUCGCGAACCACUAUUUUCCUCUGGCUGAUUCUAACUUCUGAUCUCGAUUCGUCCACGCUUUCUCUCUUUCAGUUCUCCAUCUCGCUCUUCUUCUGUCUCUUCCUCUCCUUCGAUGCACACCAUCCAAAUAUAACGGCCACGCUAAUUCACGUCCAGCAGCCGUAGCCACCAAAAUAUGAAUCCACCUUAGACGCAAAUAUAGACGAAGGUAUUUCUGGAUCAGCCGAGAACAGCCAAUGAAGACUGGUGAGAGUCCUUGUCCACCGCUGCUUCAGAAUGCGAGAUACGAAUCAUGGAAGAUGAUCCCGAGAUAUCUGCCAAGUCAGCUGUCAAGAGGUACUAAGAUGUCUGGCCUCCUUUCUAAAAGCUGUUAAGUACUUACAAAGUUUCAGUAAGCUCGAUACGAUAACACUUGGUACGUUUCUAGUGAGAACGAUACUACUCGAUAAUGCACUUGGACGGAACGUUAGACACUCCACAUGGAAUGAGUAUAGGAGUAAUGUCAAAUUGACAGACACUAUUCCAAUGAACCCUCGAAGUGAACUGUUUCACUGGAGACUAAACUAAAGUCGACAAUAUAUCCUGCAGUAUAUCUUGUCUCUAUAGUUAGAUGCCUGCCGCCCCACCCAUCCUUUAGCAAGAAACCACGCAUCUCCUUCAUAAAAAAUUAAUGAUACAUAAUGCAACUUUAUUGCACAAUUGUUCAAGAUGGCAGAUUCUACCAUUUGGCAUAAGUUCUAUUCUGUCUUCAAUUAACCACUGUUUUCGUUACAGAAAAUAAGUACGUGGUCGAAUAGUCUGAAACACUUGAAGAACCUGUGCCGUUCAAUAUUUUAUAUAUCACAUGUUAAAAAAUAUGUGAAAUGCAAACUAUAAGAUUGCACUGAAGUCAAUGAUAGGAAGAAUAAUUGUUGCGAUUCGUGCUCGAAACUAAGCAAUUAUAAUUUGAAGUAGUUUUCUCGAUCGUCCCUUCAAAAAGGAUAAUAGAAGAUUCAAUCGAUUUUGACUGACAACGCGUAAGAAUUUUAGCGAUCUCAGGGGCACGCGUUAGGAUACCUUAGGGUACGUCUCACACUUGCGAUUAUCUUAUACAUUCGUUUAUUUAGAUCUAUAAAUAAAAUUUCAAAUCGUUCGAUGCUUCACAACACUUUCACUACUUAAAUCCAGGCGAUGAAGCGAUGAAACGAUAAAACUACGUUUUAUACUAGACACAGAGUAAACUUCAAAACAUUCUAAAGAUAGAAUACACAAACAUAAUCCGUAUUCUGUUGUAAGAGCAUCGAAUAAAAUCAUGAAAUAUUCAUUCGAUUUCUAGCAAUGAAUUCGAGCUUUGCGGAUUAUUAAGCUCACACUGUUUAUAGAAAUUUGCAAUUUAAUUCAAUUGGCUGUUAAAGUUCCUUUAUGUUUCUGUUGGAUACGCGCACCUGUUGUGCUUCUUCGAUAGCAGCAACAGAGUCGGGAUAUCUCGCUUUAUAUGCGAGCAAAACUUAAACGAUUACUAAUUCAUGAUUCUUCGUGAAAGAAAUUCAAACAACGGUACACUUUACCAAAUCUUUUUGUGUAAAAUUGUCCUCAUAAGACCGCUCAUGCUCGUUAUGUUUUUACUAAAUGAAUUAUUUUUAUGGUAUAUGAUGUUAAUAUUAUUAUAGCCUUGUAGUAAUGCGAUUAUGUGCAUGAACAUAUUUUAUAUACGUAAGAGGUUCUAAUCUGUAAUCGUGCGAAAUAAAAAUAAGAAUGAAAUAAUGGAAAAUAAUCGAUUGGAAAGCUGAUGGAAAUAGAAGAAGUAAUGACUUACUGUGAACGUGUAAAACCCUUCAGGUAUCGGUUGACCACCAAACUUAAUGCUGAGGGUGUAAUCGCCGGCAUCCGCCACAGUAUAAUAAA
Molecule: long non-coding RNA, 2244 nt
Organism: Bombus terrestris (buff-tailed bumblebee)
Lineage: Eukaryota; Metazoa; Arthropoda; Insecta; Hymenoptera; Apidae
Exons: 2
Source: RefSeq, a predicted model, not a curated record